Molecule: ribosomal RNA, 468 nt
Filed under: uncultured bacterium
Lineage: Bacteria
Description: partial 16S ribosomal RNA
Rfam family: Bacterial small subunit ribosomal RNA
Source: RNAcentral
GACGAACGCUGGCGGCGUGCUUAACACAUGCAAGUCGAACGGAAAGGCCCUGCUUUUGUGGGGUGCUCGAUUGGCGAACGGGUGAGUAACACGUGAGUAACCUGCCCUUGACUUUGGGAUAACUUCAGGAAACUGGGGCUAAUACCGGAUAGGAUCUCCUGCUGCAUGGUGGGGGUUGGAAAGUUUCGGCGGUUGGGGAUGGACUCGCGGCUUAUCAGCUUGUUGGUGGGGUAGUGGCUUACCAAGGCUUUGACGGGUAGCCGGCCUGAGAGGGUGACCGGCCACAUUGGGACUGAGAUACGGACCAGAAUCCUACGGGAGGCAGCAGUGGGGAAUAUUGCACAAUGGGCGGAAGCCUGAUGCAGCAACGCCGCGUGCGGGAUGACGGCCUUCGGGUUGUAAACCGCUUUCGCCUGUGACGAAGCGUGAGUGACGGUAAUGGGUAAAGAAGCACCGGCUAACUACGUG